CUUGUGAUUGCUUGAUCAAAAGUUCAAAACUGAAUAUUGUUUUUUGGGAAAACAAAAGCUGAUUCCUUAAUGCUAGGGUUUGGUCCUUGAUAUCUUCAUAUUGUCCUUUGUGGUUACUGGUUAGGGGUUUAUUUGUCAUAUCAUUUGUGUCAUUGUUGUCACUGUUUUUCUUUGCGUUAUUCGUUAAGACAUGCACUUCGGAUGAAAUGGAGUGAUCUGUAGCCAUGUUGAUCGAAAUGUGGAAAUUGCAGCCAGUUUGGUAUGUCCAUUUUGAUAAGCUCCUCAAAAUUCCUUUAGAUCUUGGACUUCUUAUUUUGUUUACCUAGUAUGCCCAUUGAGGAAUGAAUAAUUAGUCUUACUUUCCAAAACAAAAGGAAAAAAUACGAGCAAAAUCUCUUGAUCAAAGAAGUUCAAAACAUCACAUUGGUUUAGAAAGUUGACACUCUUGAUUUUCAGUCAAGUUGGCGUACUAAGUUUUAAUAAGAUUUUACUAUUUGUUGAGGUCUUUAGCAUGAAAAAGAGUAGAAAGAAAAUCAACAAUACAAAACCACUGUUAUAACUAUAUACUGUUAGGUUACCUUUUCAUGUUCGUAGCAUACACAUCUAGUCUUGGCUUGAACCAGAUUAUUUUUAGAUUUUCUUUUUAUUGAAUGUAAGCUUAGUGCUAUAAACAGAAAAUCAUGUCUAAACAUGUGUUUCUCAUUGGUAGAAUGCAAUUGGUUUUUGAUGUUGUAGUGGAGCGAACAAGAGACACGCUGGUCAGGCUGAGCCAAACUCGCCGAAGGGUGAAGAACUUAAGUUCUUGACUUGGGCCAACCAACUGGUAUAGUUUGGAUGAUUCAUGAUUAAGCCGGACAGUAGCUUAAGGGCCAGGCCAGACGCUUGUGACAGAUCAGGCUGAGAGGCACGGCUUGGCCAAGUUGCUUCCACUUAUGUGUCAUACAGCAAUCAUCAUGACUCAUGGAUGACGUCUUUCAGGGAAAUGGUUACGAAUGACGUCAUGGGACCAUGUGCUCGUCAUAUCAUUACUUGGUCCUCAAGUACAUUAUUUCUAUACAAGGUACAUAACAAGCCUUAAAAGAGGUCUCUCGUUUCUUGUGAUGUGAUUUGAAUCAUUUGAGUCUUGUGGUGUAUUUUCUACCAUCUUGAGUGAGGAAUGACUUUGGCAUCAGAGUGUCCUUCGGCUGGAAUAGGGUUGGUAGCCACGACCCACGAGGAAGGCUAAGGCCGAGUGAAAGUCCAUCCAGCGAAUGAGAAAGUAUGGAAGGAGGCUUGUUGAGUGUGUGUGACCUGAGCAAGAAAGAUACAUCUGCAUCAUGAGCAUCAGGAUUACAAGAAGGCCUCCUUUAAGAGGGUAUAUCAGGAACGCAAGGAGGAGUGAGACGGUACGAGAGGUAGACCUCAAUGUGCCACCUACUGAGAAUUGGGAUAAGUAUGGAACUUCAGCUCAUGCCUACUCUCAAGUUGUGGGACCACCUGUACCAAUUGACGUUGAUGCAGUUCAUGACGUUUUAACUCGCACCCCGGGGAUUUGCACGACAUUCUAGAAGAAAUCGCGGAAGAAGUGUUGUAGUUGAUGUAGAUUCAGGUAAUUAUGUUUCGUUUACCAUCUCUUUUCAUAGUAGUGUCUAUCUACGUAUGCAUGUUGCUCUUUCUCGUAGCAGCAUACAUAAAC
Molecule: long non-coding RNA, 1675 nt
Organism: Rhododendron vialii
Lineage: Eukaryota; Viridiplantae; Streptophyta; Magnoliopsida; Ericales; Ericaceae
Exons: 3
Source: RefSeq, a predicted model, not a curated record